Molecule: ribosomal RNA, 513 nt
Filed under: uncultured bacterium
Lineage: Bacteria
Description: partial 16S ribosomal RNA
Rfam family: Bacterial small subunit ribosomal RNA
Source: RNAcentral
GACGAACGCUGGCGGCGUGCUUAACACAUGCAAGUCGAACGAAAAGAGGGAAAGAGCUUGCUCUUUCCGGAAUUGAGUGGCAAACGGGUGAGUAACACGUAAACAACCUGCCUUCAGGAUGGGGACAACAGACGGAAACGACUGCUAAUACCGAAUAAGUUCCAAGGGCCGCAUGGCCCAUGGAAGAAAAGGUGGCCUCUACCUGUAAGCUAUCGCCUGAAGAGGGGUUUGCGUCUGAUUAGCUGGUUGGAGGGGUAACGGCCCACCAAGGCGACGAUCAGUGGCCGGUCUGAGAGGAUGAACGGCCACACUGGAACUGAGACACGGUCCAGACUCCUACGGGAGGCAGCAGUGGGGAAUCUUCCGCAAUGGGCGAAAGCCUGACGGAGCAACGCCGCGUGAGUGAUGACGGCCUUCGGGUUGUAAAACUCUGUGAUCCGGGACGAAAAGGCAGAGUGCGAAGAACAAACUGCAUUGACGGUACCGGAAAAGCAAGCCACGGCUAACUACGUG